This 278-nucleotide ribosomal RNA is filed under the name Tetragenococcus halophilus. Its description in RNAcentral is "partial 16S ribosomal RNA". It matches the Rfam family "Bacterial small subunit ribosomal RNA", at positions 1266 to 1533 of the family's 1533-position model. The record is from RNAcentral. Lineage: Bacteria; Bacillati; Bacillota; Bacilli; Lactobacillales; Enterococcaceae.
AGCGAAUCUCUGAAAGCUUCUCUCAGUUCGGAUUGCAGGCUGCAACUCGCCUGCAUGAAGCCGGAAUCGCUAGUAAUCGCGGAUCAGCAUGCCGCGGUGAAUCCGUUCCCGGGCCUUGUACACACCGCCCGUCACACCACGAGAGUUUGUAACACCCAAAGUCGGUGCGGCAACCCUUAGGGGAGCCAGCCGCCUAAGGUGGGACGAAUGAUUGGGGUGAAGUCGUAACAAGGUAGCCGUAUCGGAAGGUGCGGCUGGAUCACCUCCUUUCUAAGGAA